GGAAACCUUGUUACGACUUUUACUUCCUCUAAAUCAUCAAGUUCGGUCAACUUCAGCGAUUCAAAUGUAAUCCGGGAAGGACUAGCAAAUGUUCACCUUCAAAGACCUCACUAAAUAAUCCAUCGGUAGUAGCGAC
This 136-nucleotide ribosomal RNA is filed under the name Insecta environmental sample. RNAcentral's name for it is "partial 18S ribosomal RNA". Lineage: Eukaryota; Metazoa; Arthropoda; Insecta. The record is from RNAcentral.